Chenopodium quinoa (quinoa) is the source of this 1295-nucleotide long non-coding RNA. RefSeq lists it as uncharacterized. NCBI's taxonomy places the organism in Eukaryota, Viridiplantae, Streptophyta, Magnoliopsida, Caryophyllales, Amaranthaceae. The transcript is spliced from 2 exons. The record is from RefSeq and is a predicted model, not a curated record.
UUAUUGUUCUUGUUGUUCAUUUAAUUUCUGAUUUUUUAAUUUUAUUGUUCUUGUUGUUCAUUUUUUGUUAUAUCUAUUAGUGAGGUGUUCUGGCCUUACCAGCUUUGGCUAUGCUCAGUUCUGAUCAGGGUUGUGGUUGUAGUACCAUGAGCAACAAUUGAGUUGAUUUGGUUACCUUAUUCAUGCUCGUGGUUUCUUUUCGUGUUAUUAAUUGUGCUUGGUUUUUUUCAGGCUGCUGUGUUGUUGCUGGUCUGCCUUUGUGACUGUUUGUUGUUUGUUGAGCAUUUAAAAUGUAUGGCUUUGUCUAUAAUGCUCUAUUAGUCUUCAAAUAUACAGAAUGCUAUCCUUUGUUCUAUCAGCUGCAUUGUUCUCUCAUUAGUGUUUCUGUUUAUGUGGGUUAAUGCUGAAUGCUAGCAGGGUUUUUUUAUUUAAGUUUGGGUUUUGUUUUGUUGCAAAAGUGCAAGUGCAUUCAGAUAGGAGUUGUCUAAUAGUGUUUAGUAUAUUUUAGGACUGAAUUGUAGAUGGACUACCUCAGCUUAGAGCAUGUAGUACUAGCUAGGGUCUGUCCUGUGCUGCUGCUGUUCUAAUGUCUGGCCAGAUCUGCUAGAUGUUUUGUUGCAAAAGUGCAAGUGCAUUCAGAUAGGAGUUGUAUAACUUUUAUUCUUCUUUGUCUUCCGGUUUUACAUCAAGUACAAAUGCUCCACCCUCCAUCCCAGCUGUUAUCGAAAAUUCAAAUAGUCACUUGGAUGAUGAUAUAUUCAAGUAUGUUGAUAAUGAUGAUGAUGAGGAGGAUGACACAUCAAAUCGGCCAUCGAUGGAGAUUGAUUCUUAUUUGUGUACUCCUCGACAACCAAUUUAUGAAGGGCAGAAGUACGAUGUUCUUAAGUAUUGGGAAUCUCAAAGUAGUGUGUACCCCAUAUUAGCUGUUAUGGCUAGGGAUGUUUUGGCCAUUCCUAUUACAUCGGUAGCCUCAGAGUCUUCUUUUAGCAUGGGUGGUCGUAUUUUAAACAAGUAUAGGAGUGCGCUUUUGCCUAAGAAUGUUGAGGCGUUGGUGACCACACAAAAUUGGUUACGUGGUUAUGAUUGUGAUAUUGAAGAAGACGUCCUUGAAAUUGGUAAAGAAGUGAUAGAUGAAAGUUUUGCAUCUAAUUAAGAAGACAUGGAUGUUGUAUUGUAGUGAACUAGUGAUGCUUAAUAUAUAUUGUGUUGCUUCAUUGCUAAAAUGUUUUAAUCUCAUAGAACAAGUAUUAAUAGUUUUAGUCACAUUACAUAUUGAUAUGUUGUUCCUUUUUUUA